UGUAAGAAGAGUGUCAAACCAAAACGCUUCCUAUCCAGCACAGAAAAAGGUGUUUUUCUCAUCCUCUGUAAUUAUGGCUUUCUUCACAUUGUUUUUGCAUCCACUGUUGGGUUGGAUUGAUUGUUAGAGGGUUGACAGACUUCCUGACAUGUUUUUCUUUCUCUCUUUCUGUCACCACAGAAUCAGGCAAAGCUGUUUGUCCAACAGCGGAAGGAAGCCGACCAAAAUACCAAUGAGGAACUUGCUAUGUUCUCAUUGAAAAUUGCCUUUAUGAUGACGCUAUCAAGCACUCUCUUUACUGCUACAGGACAUCAAGUAUGCAGACUUGGCUCUGUAUGAGUUGAGCAGAGUGAUCGCACUGGAGCCCAGCAGACCAGAAGUGUAUGAGCAAAGGGCAGAGGUGAGGAGCAGAGGUCCACGCACCACACGGACGUCUUAUCUUCAGGAUGCACUUUGAUUUCGACUUGAGUAGACACUUCAAAUAAUGUCCAGAGCAGAAAGAUAGCGCUGGUUCAGUCCAGAAACUCCAUGUUUGUCAGCUUUAGCACAAGUGAAGAUAUUUAUCGUUAUCUGGUUGAACAGUAACUUGAUUUGUGCAUUAUAAACACCACAGCGUGUCUUUGUGGUGAUACACAUUGUAAGAGUAAGCUUAUUUCAUUUAUUUGUGUUUAUUGGAUUUAGGAUAGCAAUAUAUAACUGUGCUUGACACAGGCUUUAAAAAAACAUUCAUUUGUCUGUUAAUGAAAUUUAUUGUUGGCCCACUGAAGAAAAAAGUAUGAAUUAUAAAAAAAUAUUUGUGUAUAUUUAAAAGAGAAUCCAUUUGAUUGGGAAUUGCUAAUUACAGUGCAUUAAGGCUAAAAUAUUUUACCUAACGUGUUCCCUGGGAAUCAAACCCACAACCUCGCGCUGCUAACGCAAUGCUCUACCACUUGAGCCACAGGAACACAUGUGACUUCCCCGUCAGUUUUCCGUGUUUGUUGCUGAUACAGUGCCUUCGAGACUAUAGUGUUAAUUAAUCAUGUAAUUUUGUCACACAACUUUUGUUGGACUGAUGACAUUUUUGACUCUGUUCUGUUCCUUUCAUAUUCCAUCUUAUGAUUUGGAAAAAUAGCCCAUUCUUAUUUUUUUUAAAUCCAGCCCCAUUGAUAAAAGAAAUAAACCAGAAAAUAAUCCUUUUUAGUUUAUAAUGGAUACAGUCAAUUCUGCCUCGUUAAUUAUUGUUAUCUUACAUACUAUAUUAUUAAAGGAAUAAGCACAACUUUUCAAAGAUUUGGGGUAGCAAAUGUGUAUAUAUACAGUCAUUACAAAUGAAACUAAAUAUUAUAUCAAUUGCCUCUUUUAUUACCGUCGACUGUGAGUGACGUCACUUCCCAAUGCAAACACACCCAAUAAACUUCCCAAUGCAUUUUGGUUAAAUUGUGUUGAGCCUAUCAUUCGAUAUCUUUAUGUCCUGUAGAAG
This is a long non-coding RNA of Carassius gibelio (silver crucian carp), 1459 nucleotides long. RefSeq lists it as uncharacterized. The record is from RefSeq and is a predicted model, not a curated record. NCBI's taxonomy places the organism in Eukaryota, Metazoa, Chordata, Actinopteri, Cypriniformes, Cyprinidae. The transcript is spliced from 3 exons.